This 468-nucleotide ribosomal RNA is filed under the name uncultured bacterium. RNAcentral's name for it is "partial 16S ribosomal RNA". It matches the Rfam family "Bacterial small subunit ribosomal RNA", at positions 28 to 507 of the family's 1533-position model. The record is from RNAcentral.
GACGAACGCUGGCGGCGUGCUUAACACAUGCAAGUCGAACGGCAAGGCCCUGCUUUUGUGGGGUGCUCGAGUGACGAACGGGUGAGUAACACGUGAGUAACCUGCCCUUGACUUUGGGAUAACUUCAGGAAACUGGGGCUAAUACCGGAUAGGAGCUCCUGCUGCAUGGUGGGGGUUGGAAAGUUUCGGCGGUUGGGGAUGGACUCGCGGCUUAUCAGCUUGUUGGUGGGGUAGUGGCUUACCAAGGCUGUGACGGGUAGCCGGCCUGAGAGGGUGACCGGCCACAAUGGGACUGAGAGACGGCCCAGACUCCUACGGGAGGCAGCAGUGGGGAACAUUGCACAAUGGGCGGAAGCCUGAUGCAGCAACGCCGCGUGCGGGAUGACGGCCUUCGGGGUGUAAACCGCUUUCGCCUGUGACGAAGCGUGAGUGACGGUAAUGGGUAAAGAAGCACCGGCUAACUACGUG